RNAcentral lists this ribosomal RNA (429 nucleotides) under uncultured bacterium. RNAcentral's name for it is "bacterial SSU rRNA". It matches the Rfam family "Bacterial small subunit ribosomal RNA", at positions 29 to 506 of the family's 1533-position model. The record is from RNAcentral.
ACGAACGCUGGCGGCAGGCUUAACACAUGCAAGUCGAACGCCCCGCAAGGGGGGUGGCAGACGGGUGAGUAACGCGUGGGAAUCUACCCUUUGGUACGGGAUAGCUCCGGGAAACUGGAAUUAAUACCGUAUGUGGCUUGAGAGCGAAAGAUUUAUCGCCAAAGGAUGAGCCCGCGUUGGAUUAGCUAGUUGGUGGGGUAAAGGCCUACCAAGGCGACGAUCCAUAGCUGGUCUGAGAGGAUGACCAGCCACAUUGGGACUGAGACACGGCCCAAACUCCUACGGGAGGCAGCAGUGGGGAAUAUUGGACAAUGGGCGCAAGCCUGAUCCAGCCAUGCCGCGUGAGUGAUGAAGGUCUUAGGAUUGUAAAGCUCUUUCACCGGGGACGAUAAUGACGGUACCCGGAGAAGAAGCCCCGGCUAACUUCGU